Molecule: ribosomal RNA, 492 nt
Filed under: uncultured bacterium
Lineage: Bacteria
Description: partial 16S ribosomal RNA
Rfam family: Bacterial small subunit ribosomal RNA
Source: RNAcentral
AGUGAACGCUGGCGGUAGGCCUAACACAUGCAAGUCGAACGGCAGCACAGUAAGAGCUUGCUCUUACGGGUGGCGAGUGGCGGACGGGUGAGGAAUACAUCGGAAUCUACUUUUUCGUGGGGGAUAACGUAGGGAAACUGACGCUAAUACGGCAUACGACCUACGGGUGAAAGCAUGGGAUCUUCGGACCUUGCGCGAUUGAAUGAGCCGAUGUCGGAUUAGCUAGUUGGCGGGGUAAAGGCCCACCAAGGCGACGAUCCGUAGCUGGUCUGAGAGGAUGAUCAGCCACACUGGAACUGAGACACGGUCCAGACUCCUACGGGAGGCAGCAGUGGGGAAUAUUGGACCAAGGGCGGAAGCCUGAUCCAGCCAUACCGCGUGGGUGAAGAAGGCCUUCGGGUUGUAAAGCCCUUUUGUUGGGAAAGAAAAGCAGCAGGUUAAUACCCCGCUGUUCUGACGGUACCCAAAGAAUAAGCACCGGCUAACUUCGUG